ACGGGAGGCAGCAGUGGGGAAUAUUGGGCAAUGGGCGCAAGCCUGACCCAGCAACGCCGCGUGAAGGAAGAAGGCUUUCGGGUUGUAAACUUCUUUUGUCAGGGAAGAGUAGAAGACUGUACCUGAUGAAUAAGCCACGGCUAACUACGUGCCAGCAGCCGCGGUAAUACGUAGGUGGCGAGCGUUAUCCGGAUUUACUGGGUGUAAAGGGCGCGUAGGCGGGGAUGCAAGUCAGAUGUGAAAUCCAUGGGCUUAACUCAUGAACUGCAUUUGAAACUGUAUCUCUUGAGUGUCGGAGAGGUAGAUGGAAUUCCUAGUGUAGCGGUGAAAUGCGUAGAUAUUAGGAGGAACACCAGUGGCGAAGGCGAUCUACUGGACGAUAACUGACGCUGAGGCGCGAAAGCGUGGGGAGCAAACAGGAUUAGAUACCCUGGUA
This 436-nucleotide ribosomal RNA is filed under the name uncultured Clostridium sp. Its description in RNAcentral is "partial 16S ribosomal RNA". It matches the Rfam family "Bacterial small subunit ribosomal RNA", at positions 341 to 792 of the family's 1533-position model. Lineage: Bacteria; Bacillati; Bacillota; Clostridia; Eubacteriales; Clostridiaceae. The record is from RNAcentral.